CCCCCCGCCCAGCCCCCACCGGCCUACGGAGGAGCCCAACAGCUGCGGCCCCCCGCCGCGUUCCCGGCGCUGCCGUUCCUGCCCCAGCAGCCGCCAGGGGGCGCCUUCGGCCUCCACGGCACUUCCCACCUGGACAGGCAGGGUUCCUCCCCCCCAGCUCGUCGCUGCCGCUGCAGAAGCAGCUG
Long non-coding RNA from Poecile atricapillus (Black-capped chickadee), 185 nucleotides. RefSeq lists it as uncharacterized. NCBI's taxonomy places the organism in Eukaryota, Metazoa, Chordata, Aves, Passeriformes, Paridae. The record is from RefSeq and is a predicted model, not a curated record. The transcript has 3 exons.